RNAcentral lists this ribosomal RNA (253 nucleotides) under uncultured bacterium. RNAcentral's name for it is "partial 16S ribosomal RNA". It matches the Rfam family "Bacterial small subunit ribosomal RNA", at positions 524 to 776 of the family's 1533-position model. The record is from RNAcentral.
UACGUAGGGGGCAAGCGUUGUCCGGAUUUAUUGGGCGUAAAGAGCGUGUAGGCGGCCAUACAGGUCAGCUGUGAAAACUCGAGGCUCAACCUCGAGACGUCGGUUGAAACCGUAUGGCUAGAGUCCGGAAGAGGAGAGUGGAAUUCCCGGUGUAGCGGUGAAAUGCGCAGAUAUCAGGAAGAACACCCGUGGCGAAGGCGGCUCUCUGGGACGGUACUGACGCUGAGACGCGAAAGCGUGGGGAGCGAACAGG